This 467-nucleotide ribosomal RNA is filed under the name uncultured bacterium. Its description in RNAcentral is "partial 16S ribosomal RNA". It matches the Rfam family "Bacterial small subunit ribosomal RNA", at positions 28 to 506 of the family's 1533-position model. The record is from RNAcentral.
GACGAACGCUGGCGGCGUGCUUAACACAUGCAAGUCGAACGGAAAGGCCCUGCUUUUGUGGGGUGCUCGAGUGGCGAACGGGUGAGUAACACGUGAGUAACCUGCCCUUGACUUUGGGAUAACUUCAGGAAACUGGGGCUAAUACCGGAUAGGAGCUCCUGCUGCAUGGUGGGGGUUGGAAAGUUUCGGCGGUUGGGGAUGGACUCGCGGCUUAUCAGCUUGUUGGUGGGGUAGUGGCUUACCAAGGCUUUGACGGGUAGCCGGCCUGAGAGGGUGACCGGCCACAUUGGGACUGAGAUACGGCCCAGACUCCUACGGGAGGCAGCAGUGGGGAAUAUUGCACAAUGGGCGGAAGCCUGAUGCAGCAACGCCGCGUGCGGGAUGACGGCCUUCGGGUUGUAAACCGCUUUCGCCUGUGACGAAGCGUGAGUGACGGUAAUGGGGAAAGAAGCACCGGCUAGCUACGU